ACAAAGUCACUAGCACUGAUGGUAUGAUGGGGGCGAUGAGGGGAGCAACUCCAGAAGCAAUGACGAUAGAGAAAAAAAAAUAAAAAGAAAAAAAUUAAAUGCACCAAACACUAAUCACGAAACAGAAAAACUGUUUAAACUAUUUAAUUUGGCGAAUUAUGGAAAUAAAACACAAGGGUGUCAAGCGAACAACACCAGUGAAAGCGUAAAAAAACUAAGCACAAUUAAAAACUGAGAGAAAACAAUAAAUAUUAAUAAAAACUCAGGAGCUAUGCAAAAACACCACCGUCACGUCAGAGAGCAGAAGCUUUUUUCAUAAACAUCAUAAAAUAUGACAUAGUUUAUUUAAACAUAGAAUAAAUGUCAUUAAUUUGAUAAAGUGUUGAUAGAUUUAUAUGAAUACAGUGCGUUAAUUUUUCGGAAUUACAUUAACAAUGCGAAAGAUUCAGGAUACCUUCGGGACCCGUCUUGAAACACGGACCAAGGAGUCUAACAUAUGUGCAAGUUAUUGGGAUAUAAACCUAAUAGCAUAAUUAACUUGACUAAUAAUGGGAUUAGUUUUUUAACUAUGCAUAGAUAAUUAACACAAUACCGGGGCGUUCUAUAUAGUUAUGUAUAAUGAUAUUUAUAUUAUUUAUACCUCUAACUGAUCAGGUUGAAGUCAGGGGAAACCCUGAUGGAAGACCGAAACAGUUCUGACGUGCAAAUCGAUUGUCAGAAUUGAGUAUAGGGGCGAAAGACCAAUCAAACCAUCUAGUAGCUGGUUCCUUCCGAAGUUUCCCUCAGGAUAGCCGGUGCAUUUAAAUGUUAUAUAAAAUAAUCUUAUCUGAUAAAGCGAAUGAUUAGAGGCCUUAGGGUCGAAACGAUCUUAACCUAUUCUCAAACUUUAAAUGGGUAAGAACCUUAACUUUCUUGAUAUGAAGUGGGCCACUUUUGGUAAGCAGAACUGGCGCUGUGGGAUGAACCAAACGUAAUGAUACGGUGCCCAAAUUAACAACUCAUACAGAAACCAUGAAAGGCGUUGGUUGCUUAAAACAGCAGGACGGUGAUCAUGGAAGUCGAAAUCCGCUAAGGAGUGUGUAACAACUCACCUGCCGAAGCAACUAGCCCUUAAAAUGGAUGGCGCUUAAGUUGUAUACCUAUACAUUACCGCUAAAGUAGAUGAUUUAUAUUAUUUAUAAUAUAAAUUUUAAAACUUUAGUGAGUAGGAAGGUACAAUGGUGUGCUUAGAAGUGUUUGGCGUAAGCCUGCAUGGAGCCGCCAUUGGUACAGAUCUUGGUGGUAGUAGCAAAUAAUCGAAUGAGACCUUGGAGGACUGAAGUGGAGAAGGGUAUCGUGUGACCGGUGGUGAUCACGAGUUAGUCGUCUAAGUUCAAGGCGAAAGCCGAAAUUUUCAAGUUUAAAAAUGUCAAAUGAAAUAAUAAAUAAUAAACACUUGAAUAAUUUGAACGAAAGGGAAUACGGUUCCAAUUCGUAACGUGUUGAGUAUCCGUUUGUUAUUAAAUAUGGGCCUCGUGCUCAUCCUGGCAACAGGAACGACCAUAUAGAAGCCGUCGAGAGGUAUCGGAAGAGUUUGCUUUUCUGUUUCUGUUCUGUAGAUGGGCUAGAAGAGCAUGACAUAUACUGUUGUGUCGAUAUUUUCUCCUCGGACCUUGAAAAUUUAUGGUGGGGAUACGCAAACUUCUCAACAGGCCGUACCAAUAUCCGCAGCUGGUCUCCAAGGUGAAGAGUCUCUAGUCGAUAGAAUAAUGUAGGUAAGGGAAGUCGGCAAAUUAGAUCCGUAACUUCGGGAUAAGGAUUGGCUCUGAAGAUUGAGAUAGUCGGGCUUGAUUGGGAAACAAUAACAUGGUUUAUGUGCUCGUUCUGGGUAAAUAGAGUUACUAUCAUUUAUGAUAGUUAUUUGUUCCCCGGAUAACUAACUAGUUACGUAGCCAAUUGUGGAACUAUUAAAAUUUUUAAGAAUACUAAUUUUUAAUUAGUUUUUUUAAAUUAUAACGAUUAUCAAUUAACAAUCAAUUCAGAACUGGCACGGACUUGGGUAAUUCGACUGUCUAAUUAAAACAAAGCAUUGUGAUGGCCCUAGCGGAUGUUGACACAAUGUGAUUUCUGCCCAGUGCAGUUGAGACGGUUUGGUCAGCGAUAACGCCACGCGACCUGAGGGAAAAUAAAAUAAAGUUGUCAAGUGCUCCGGGUCCUGACGGUAUCACUCCAAGAACAGCCAAUGGGCUGCAGGGCUAACAGCCUUAGGCAUUAUGCUACGCAUAAUGAACCUGAUUCUCUGGUGCGGCAAAAUACCAUUCUCUACCCGACUGGCCAGAACUAUCUUCAUUCCGAAGACUGUGACGGCAAAUCGACCGCAAGACUUUCGUCCAAUAACAGUCCCCUCGGUUUUGGUCAGGCAAUUAAACGCUGUUCUGGCUUCUCGAUUGGCUUCUAAAGUCAACUGGGAUCCAAGGCAGCGCGGUUUCCUACCUACCGAUGAGUACCGAUAAGCAAGGUGACCCUCUGUCUCCAUUACUAUUUAAUGGUAUAAUUGAUAGAUUACUUAGGUCCUACCCCAGAGAGAUUGGUGCCAAAGUCGGAAAUAACAUGGCAAGCGCGGCAGCGUUCGCGGAUGAUCUAGUGCUAUUUGCGGAAACUCCGUUGGGGCUUCAAACAUUGUUGGAUACCACGGUAGGCUUCCUAGCCUCCGUGGGACUCUCACUUAAUGCUGGUAAGUGCUUCACUGUCAGUAUAAACGGGCAAGCCAAGCAGAAGUUUACUGUCGUAGAACGACGGAGCUUUUGUGUAGGUGAGCGCGAGUGUCCUUCAUUGAAGCGUACUGAAGAGUGGAAGUAUUUAGGUAUCCGGUUCGCUGCGGAUGGGCGGGCUCGGU
This 2875-nucleotide ribosomal RNA is filed under the name Drosophila willistoni. RNAcentral describes it as "eukaryotic LSU rRNA". It matches the Rfam family "Eukaryotic large subunit ribosomal RNA". The record is from RNAcentral. Lineage: Eukaryota; Metazoa; Arthropoda; Insecta; Diptera; Drosophilidae.